This 497-nucleotide ribosomal RNA is filed under the name uncultured bacterium. Its description in RNAcentral is "partial 16S ribosomal RNA". It matches the Rfam family "Bacterial small subunit ribosomal RNA", at positions 28 to 507 of the family's 1533-position model. The record is from RNAcentral.
GAUGAACGCUGGCGGCGUGCCUAAUACAUGCAAGUCGAGCGAACAGACGAGGAGCUUGCUCCUCUGACGUUAGCGGCGGACGGGUGAGUAACACGUGGAUAACCUACCUAUAAGACUGGGAUAACUUCGGGAAACCGGGGCUAAUACCGGAUAAUAUAUUGAACCGCAUGGUUCAAUAGUGAAAGACGGUUUUGCUGUCACUUAUAGAUGGAUCCGCGCCGCAUUAGCUAGUUGGUAAGGUAACGGCUUACCAAGGCGACGAUGCGUAGCCGACCUGAGAGGGUGAUCGGCCACACUGGAACUGGGACACGGUCCAGACUCCUACGGGAGGCAGCAGUAGGGAAUCUUCCGCAAUGGGCGAAAGCCUGACGGAGCAACGCCGCGUGAGUGAUGAAGGUCUUCGGAUCGUAAAACCCUGUUAUUAGGGAAGAACAAAUGUGUAAGUAACUAUGCACGUCUUGACGGUACCUAAUCAGAAAGCCACGGCUAACUACGUG